Chroicocephalus ridibundus (black-headed gull) is the source of this 730-nucleotide long non-coding RNA. RefSeq lists it as uncharacterized. Lineage: Eukaryota; Metazoa; Chordata; Aves; Charadriiformes; Laridae. The transcript is spliced from 3 exons. The record is from RefSeq and is a predicted model, not a curated record.
CACUUCUCCACCAGCACCUUGCAGGCUUUGGCUUGUGCAAAGAGCUGGUUCACUCGAUUCUCUUCUGUGUCAAAGUGCUUCCUGUAAAACGACUGUGGAGACAACAGACGUUAUGAACUGGAAUGAAGUUUACCUUAGUUUUUAUUUUUACAGGGUUGGCGAUGUGGUGGUUUCAGUUUCAGAAAGUUCCUUACCGCUCAAAGGACAUGAAGAGUUGUCCCUAUUAUUGUUACUUCAGCACCAGUCAAAAGCCUCUGUCAAGUCCCAAGAUUAACUGAAGAGGUGCACGUUUCCUACGUGAAGACUUCAAAGGGUAACAACUUUAAUCUUCUUGGAUGUUCAGCUCCCAGUCAUCCUGUUUCCCAACACACCCAGAUUUCUUCACCGAUGCCUGUCGGCUGUCCCGAGAUAGGAUACGAGCCCGUGCAGGCUGUGGCUGUAAACAGCACCGACAACGCCGCUCCGCCGGCUCCUCGGCGCAAACAACUCACACCGGGAGCCGGCGAUUCCACACCGCUGCUGGCAGAACCGUCGGCUCCGGGCGGGCGGAGGGGCCGCCAGGGCCUCCCCGGGGGAUGGCGAGACCCCUCGGCCGCGGGCAGGGCCGUGCCCGGGCUCCCUCCCCCGGCCCCUUCCGCCAGGGCCGCCCGCCCCCUCCCCCCGAGGGCUCCUCCCGGCCGCCCCGCGCUCCCCGCCGGCAGAGGGAAGGGCUGCGGGACGCGGCCGGGGC